Long non-coding RNA from Strongylocentrotus purpuratus (purple sea urchin), 1212 nucleotides. RefSeq lists it as uncharacterized. The record is from RefSeq and is a predicted model, not a curated record. The transcript is spliced from 2 exons. Lineage: Eukaryota; Metazoa; Echinodermata; Echinoidea; Camarodonta; Strongylocentrotidae.
CGACAUUAGCGAUACUUGUGACAGCGGUAGGCUUUACUACUUUUUACAGAGACGUAUUAUCCUAGACGUAUGAUCGAAUCGAUCAGAACUUCUCAAGGAAACAUUUUACAUGCGCAUUCAGCAUUUCUAUUUCACUUUGAAAAACAGAAGUCUUGCUAGAUUUCAUUUGACAUAAUCUGAAGCAAAUUGUCUGCACAGAUACAAUAUGUCUUCGAAUCAGCCCCCAUCCCAGGUGAGCGCUGGAGCCAACCGCACGGGCUACACACCUAGCGGAAUCGGUUCAGGUACUGCUGCAGCUGGUCAUAUGUCCUCAAGUGCGAAGUCUCAUGGCGGAGGAGUCCAGAAGGGAAGCACGGUCUCUAGCAUGCAGUCGGCGGGGAGCAAGGGCAACUACUCUAAAGGAGUCGGAGGGAGUAAAAAGUAGACCUGGACAUUCGAGACCGGUCUGGAGAUCUAGUUGAUCGAGGCCAACUUAAUUCUAGCGACAGAGAGAUUCGAAGGAGGAAUCGCUAGCAAAUAGUCAUUAAAAGAAAAUAUAUUAUUUACGUAAUAUUAUUUUAAUCCAAGUUUAUCCCAUUGCCGAACAGUUUAAUAUCUUCUUAAUAUCCUUUGUUUCGUGAAAUAUAAUUUCAAUAAUUUUAUGUCUGUUUUUUGUUUAAGUCCACAAAACGGAGCAUUAGAAAUGUCGACACAAAGAGAAAUAUAGUAACAUAAAGAACCUUUAAUUCCAAUAUAUGAAAGUAUGUCUUUUAAUGUGCAAAAUCAAUAUUCGCAAUCGUGUAAGAUUUAUACGAAAAGGUCUUCAACUGCUUUGCAAUCGUAGCAUUGAUGUUUGAUUGGUUUGAUUGGUAAUUAAACUGGUAUUAAACCGUGUCCUUUAAUGUACAGCUAUUAAAUAAAUAACUUUCAUCAUUACCAUGUCGCUCUCAUUUUAUUCUAAUAAAUGACCGCAAAUUUAAGCAGUAUUUGUUAUCAUUUGCAAAAUCACACGAUUGGGCCUACCUAUUUGUAACGUUUAAAAGGUUCGAAUGAACAAAAAUGGCAAAAUUAUUGUUGAUUGAAUCAGUAAUUUCGUUUGUCUGUUCUAGUUGCCCGUAAUAAUGAAUCAAAUAACUUCAAUUUCUACUCUGUAAAUUUGUUUUGAAUGUCAUCUGUCAAUGAGUAUCAAUAAUUGUCUAAUAUUCUAAAUUAAAAAGCCUCGAACAAAAAAAA